RNAcentral lists this ribosomal RNA (463 nucleotides) under Escherichia coli. RNAcentral's name for it is "partial 23S ribosomal RNA". It matches the Rfam family "Bacterial large subunit ribosomal RNA", at positions 2480 to 2925 of the family's 2925-position model. Lineage: Bacteria; Pseudomonadati; Pseudomonadota; Gammaproteobacteria; Enterobacterales; Enterobacteriaceae. RNAcentral also lists the same sequence under 1 other name. The record is from RNAcentral.
GGCUGAUACCGCCCAAGAGUUCAUAUCGACGGCGGUGUUUGGCACCUCGAUGUCGGCUCAUCACAUCCUGGGGCUGAAGUAGGUCCCAAGGGUAUGGCUGUUCGCCAUUUAAAGUGGUACGCGAGCUGGGUUUAGAACGUCGUGAGACAGUUCGGUCCCUAUCUGCCGUGGGCGCUGGAGAACUGAGGGGGGCUGCUCCUAGUACGAGAGGACCGGAGUGGACGCAUCACUGGUGUUCGGGUUGUCAUGCCAAUGGCACUGCCCGGUAGCUAAAUGCGGAAGAGAUAAGUGCUGAAAGCAUCUAAGCACGAAACUUGCCCCGAGAUGAGUUCUCCCUGACUCCUUGAGAGUCCUGAAGGAACGUUGAAGACGACGACGUUGAUAGGCCGGGUGUGUAAGCGCAGCGAUGCGUUGAGCUAACCGGUACUAAUGAACCGUGAGGCUUAACCUUACAACGCCGAAG